CAUUAUGAAGCUAAACAAGCAUUAACCUUUUAAGUUAAAGAUUGAGAAUAAUUAAUUUCUCAUAAUGA
RNAcentral lists this transfer RNA (68 nucleotides) under Glis glis (Fat dormouse). RNAcentral describes it as "transfer RNA-Lys". Lineage: Eukaryota; Metazoa; Chordata; Mammalia; Rodentia; Gliridae. The record is from RNAcentral.